GACGAACGCUGGCGGCGUGCUUAACACAUGCAAGUCGAACGGCAAGGCACUGAUAUUGUGGGGUGCUCGAGUGGCGAACGGGUGCGUAACACGUGAGUAACCUGCUCUUGUCUUUGGGAUAACUUCAGGAAACUGGGGCUAAUAUCGGAUCGGAGAUCCUGCUGCAUGGAGGGGGUUGGAAAGUCUCGGCGGUUGGGGAUGGAUGCGCGGAUUAUCGGCUUGUUGGUGGGGUAGUGGAUUACCAAGGCUUUGACGGGUAGCCGGCCGGUGAGGGUGACCGGCCUCAUGGGGACUAAGAGACGGCGCAGACUGCUACAGGAGGCAGCAGUGGGGAAUAUUGCACAGUGGGCGGGAGCCGGAUGCAGCGGCGCCGCGUUCGUGAUGACCGCCUUCUGGUAGUAAACCGCUUCCGCCUGUUACGAAGCGUUAGUGACGGUAAUGGGAGAAUAAGCACCGGCUAACUACGUG
Molecule: ribosomal RNA, 468 nt
Filed under: uncultured bacterium
Lineage: Bacteria
Description: partial 16S ribosomal RNA
Rfam family: Bacterial small subunit ribosomal RNA
Source: RNAcentral